RNAcentral lists this long non-coding RNA (2215 nucleotides) under Anneissia japonica. RNAcentral describes it as "uncharacterized LOC117123692". Lineage: Eukaryota; Metazoa; Echinodermata; Crinoidea; Comatulida; Comatulidae. The record is from RNAcentral.
CAAUAAAAUUUGAAGAUGUGAUUUUACCACACCUUCAUUCAUAUUAAUGUUUCGUGUUUUCUCGUUUCUAGGUUUACCAUUGAUACCUGUUAUUGUGCUAGUUUCAAUCAAUCCAGACUACUAUUCCAACGAAUAUUUCUGCUACAUUUCAAAAACGGAAGUUAUUACAUACGGUGUGAUUUUGCCAGCCAGCAUAGUUGUUUUCUGUAAUACCGUCUUUUUUAUACUCAUCAUUUACCGAUUAUAUUUUACCCUUUCGAAAAUGAGUGGGGCCAAGACUCAGGAUACGUCAUCAGGAAUCAAAACCCGACUGACAAAUGCCAUUGCUAUAUCAACACUACUCGGCUUAACUUGGAUCUUCGGAUUCCUCUCGUUCGGAGGUGAUCGAAUUGUGAUGUCUAUACUCUUCUGUGUUCUAAAUCCUCUUCAGGGGUUGGCGAUAUUUCUCCUGUUCGUUCUGCGACGGAAGGAGAGCAAGGAGAAGUGGAGAAGUGUCUGGAGAUCGUGUUACUCCCGCUUUCCGAGGUGUCAGUGGCCUGGCAGAUCACAGGCCUACGAGGUUACGUCAGACACCUCACAUGAUGUAACUACAAACGAUUUGUCUGUGUCGUUCUCGAAAGUUAAUGAUAUGUAGUUUUAGAUUCACAGUGUUUUGUGCUUAGGCACGCAGUAAUUCAGGACAAAAUUAGUUGUCAUUUUAUGAAGUUAAAAAAAAAGUACUUUAACAAUUGAUAAUUAAAUACACACAAGAUCAAUUUGUAAGAACUGUAUAUUCCUAUAACAACUCCCUGAUUCCAGCCACCAAAUGUUUAUUAAGCAAACGAAUACACGAGUGUUAGGAAAAUUCUAUACUUCGGAAUUGCAAUCCGUUGCAAACACGCAGUCUGAUUUUGUGUCAUGCCCCCUCGGGGGCAAAUACACUACGUUAUCGUCUGGCAGUUAAAGAUGGCUGAAAGGGUAAAUCCGGUGAGGUGCAUGAUGGGCCAUGUGUCAUUAAGUACCUUAUUACUGUACCAAAGUAAUAAAAAAUACAACGCCACAUAUUUCCUGAUAACCGAAUUCCACGUGUUUGUAAACAUAUAAGGCAGUACUGUAUAUUGGUCAUAGACACAUGCUCCCGCUGGGAACCUAUUUUUACAAAUGUGAACUAGUUGAGGUUAGUAACUUGCAAAUUUAUAGAACUUAAAAAAGAGUGCACGCAGUGUGUCAUAGCAAAAUAUUUGACAGGGGACGAAUUUUACUUGUAUUUUAUGUAAGCGACAAUAAAAAAAUCUUGUAUCUUGUAGGCCUAAAUUCCUAUACGCUAAAUUUAUCUGUUGGUGAAAUAGUUUUAUAGGAAGGUAAAGUUAUGUGCAUGGUUACAAGUGGCGGAUCCAGGAAUUUGAAGUAGAGGGAGGCCAGGGAGGGACUUCGACAGAUGAAGGGUCAACAUCAACUCAGCCCCACCAUGGUUGUGGCUGAGGCAUGAAAAUUUACGAUUAUGUCACCUUCAGAUGGCCGGAAAUGGCACAGACUUAAAAUUUGAAUGUAUAAUUUUCAUUUUUCUCCAAUUUUUUACAAUUUCGAAAAAAAAUAGGGGUGAGAGGGACGACUGAGCCCCCCUUGAAUCCGCCACUGUUUACAAAAUAUGGACUAAGUGUUUACAAAAUCAAGAUGCUUGAGUUAUAUCGGUGGUUAAGAUGCUUCCUUCGAAUCCCAGGGUCGAGGGUUCAAAGCCCGUCACCAAUAAUAUCAAAAGUAAUUUUUGACUUAAUGAGACUCUUAAUGUAGCAAGUGAAGGGAUUGUCACUAUAUUAAUGUGAUUUAAUAUGGUUAUUGUUAGGUAUAUAAUUGGCCUUAUGCCUAAAAUUUUAAUACACAGAAAAUACGAAUAAUACAAAGAUGCAUUUUUGUUUAGGCCUACAUUUUAUAUUCAUUAUUAUAUGCUGGUAAAUCAACAUAAUAACUUUUACAUCGUUUGAUUGAAAAAAAACCCCAAAGUUUUACUUUUCUUUUAAGCAAACAACGUGAUCAAGAUAGACCAGCAAAUAAAUAUUCAUGAUUGACUGCUGGACGAAGAGAACGUCCUUCCUAAAUCUAAAAAUAUUUGGUUUCUAAAAGCGCAUUUUGAAAUAAAAAUGUCAUGGAUUGGGUCAAUUUGUGAUAAGGAUUGGUAGUUUCAACAGUAACCAUAAGUAUGACCGCACAAAGUACAAUAAAUGUUAUAUUUGAAAAA